This 178-nucleotide unclassified non-coding RNA is filed under the name uncultured Agaricomycetes. Its description in RNAcentral is "sequence contains ITS1". Lineage: Eukaryota; Fungi; Basidiomycota; Agaricomycetes. The record is from RNAcentral.
AAGAAUGAGGCCCUUUAGGCCUUGAUCCCACGCCUCUCUGGCUGUGCGCCCUCGGGCAGCACGCUUGAGAACACGUGAUUCUCACACCUGUGCACUUUUGAAACGAGAAAUUCUGUUUCUCGAGUCUGAUCACAAACUAUGUAGUCACGAAAGUCCAGAAUUUCUUUAAUGGAAAAUA